Olea europaea var. sylvestris is the source of this 699-nucleotide long non-coding RNA. RefSeq lists it as uncharacterized. The record is from RefSeq and is a predicted model, not a curated record. The transcript has 2 exons. Lineage: Eukaryota; Viridiplantae; Streptophyta; Magnoliopsida; Lamiales; Oleaceae.
AGGUUGUAGUUUCCUUGUCAUUGGUGAAUCAAAUGCAACUUGUGGAAAGAGAUGGAAAGAAUGCCCAUGUGACAAGGCAACUUACUGAAUGUAUUAUUUGGCAUCGAAUUUUUAUUAUCUAUAUUUUCCCAUGAUUUAGAUUGAAUUUUGGUUCUAUCAACUUGUUGAAUUCUUUUAGUAAUGUUAUUUACAUUAAUAGAAUAUGUGAAUGGCUAAACCUCAAUAUCAUCCACCACAAGAAACAAUAGUAACAACACUCAAUCCAUGGAUGAUGAGAAUCCCAUAAGACUUGUGACUGACAUAGUCCAUGAAACUCAAAGAGAGGUGGAAGAAAAUUCUCAAAAGACCAAAUGAAUCGAUAAAAAUGGGAGUUGGGGGAUUACUAACCGAAGCAAAGAAAGAAAUGAAGUCAGAGGAAUAUGAGCACAAGUUGGGGACUGGUUCCGUAUAUAAGAUUAGUUCUUUGUUCAAUUUACUUAUUGCCAUUUAGAAUCAUGCAUAGUGAUUUGACAUUUAUUGGAUUUUCGAGUAUCAAAAUCUGCUGGUAGGAUAUCAUGUUCCAUGCGAAGGGGAGAAAGAAGGUGCUUUUAUUACCUUGACUUGAUAAUUUUUGUCAUCUAGGUUUAGAAUUUCUGUUGCAGUUCUUCAAUGUUAUUAGGUUCCAUUUGCCAUUUAAUAAAUAUUAGAGUUUUUUCAUAA